CCGAUUGAACAUUUUUCUUAAUAAAUUUAGGGUAAAGAAGCAAAUAUUUUGCAUGUUUAUCAUGGAUGAAUUCGCAUAAAAACAAACAGUGAAUUGUUAAUGCAGAAUAAAACAUAGUGAUCAAAAGACUCAAUACAGAACCAGCUGCAAAGUGCACUGUUAAUAUAGAAUGAGAAGAAGAAUCUUGACUAAAUUAUUUGUCCCAGUUUAAGGACAUCUUUACAUGAAUAUAUUAUUUGCAAUCAGAGUAUCAUCAUUCUCAUUGCAAUAUUAAACACACAAUGCCUUUCCAACCAUAGAAAUAACAUAUACAAAAGAAAUUGAUGAAUUGGAAUCCAUUGCCAAAGUGCCAAAUGUACUAAAUUCUUGAUUAUAGUAUACACAUUCUAAUUUAGAAAAACCAUCUUCUUCGAAAAAUCGAAAAAAUGAAUUAAAAUCUCAAAAAUAAUGUCAAAAGUCAGAAAGCAAGCAAAUUGCACUGCACUCCACCAAAGAAAAAUCAUAUAUUCCCAUGUUAUGUUAUCCCCAUGCCUUGAAAAAAAAUCCAUUCCCCCUCAAUCUACGGCAGAUUCUGACGUCCUUUGAUUAAACUAAUCACGUGUAUAAUGAAAUCCAUUAGAAGUGCUUAGUUUUUAAUUGAACCAAUGGGAAAGCUUGUGUUCUGUAUAGCACAGUUAUCAAACACCAGUAGCUACGGCAGAUUCCAUUACCCCUCUUCCAGCCACUUCGCCUUUAUUUCCUGGUCCCGUCAUCUCCCUAAAAUUGGGGAUAAAAUCCCACUCUAUCUCACUGCAACAACCAACCAAAAAGGACAACUUCAAAUAUGCCAAAUCUCAAAAUUCAUACAGAAGAACAGCCUCCAUAUUUAUUUGCUUUUCCAUAGCGAGAAAUUGAAAACGUAAUCUCAAAAUUCAAGAUUAUGUACUUAUAUUUUCUACAUAAUUUACAAAUUAAUAGUAAGAUUGAUUGGCAUACCUUGAAGACAACUUGAAGAGCUCAAAAUGUGUAGUCGAUUCAGCCGAAUUUUUUUUUUAACCCAAGAUGAAUAUUAUGUCCGGGAGAAAGAAUUAUAUCACAACCAAUCGUGGCUGAAUAACUCCCUCUUGCAAAAUCGACUAUAAGAUCGAUUGCAGCCAAUCGUGGCAAUUUGACGAGCUGAAUAAAAUUUCUUGCAAAAUCCAGGAGAAAGAAUUAUAUCAUACACAAGAAAUUUGGAGCGUGAGUAAAUUGGAAUUAGGUUUGGCCGAUUAAACUAAAGCGGCAAAGUGAGGAGGGAUUUAUUUGGGGAAAAGGUUUUGGAGGCAAGGAAGAGAAUUAGGGAAACAAUUCUGGCCAGUUAAACGUGGGUUUAUU
RNAcentral lists this long non-coding RNA (1353 nucleotides) under Olea europaea (common olive). RNAcentral describes it as "long non-coding RNA (OEUR_LNC007644)". The record is from RNAcentral. Lineage: Eukaryota; Viridiplantae; Streptophyta; Magnoliopsida; Lamiales; Oleaceae.